Molecule: ribosomal RNA, 422 nt
Filed under: uncultured bacterium
Lineage: Bacteria
Description: partial 16S ribosomal RNA
Rfam family: Bacterial small subunit ribosomal RNA
Source: RNAcentral
AAUUUUUGGCCAUGGGGGGAACCCUGGACCCACCCAUCCGCGGGCAUGAUUGAAGGCCUUCGGUUUUUAAAUUACUUUGGUAGGAGAAGAAAAGGAUUUCCUUAUUCGAAGUUAUGCUUACGGUAUCCGCAGGAUUAGCACCGGCGAAAUUCGUGCCCGCCGCCGCGGUAAUACGUAGGGUGCAAGCGUUAAACGGAACUACUGGGCGUAAAGCGUGUGUAGGCGGUUCGGAAAGAAAGAUGUGAAACCCCAGGGCUCAACCUUGGAACUGCAUUUUUAACUGCCGAGCUAGAGUAUGUCAGAGGGGGGUAGAAUUCCACGUGUAGCAGUGAAAUGCGUAGAUAUGUGGAGGAAUACCGAUGGCGAAGGCAGCCCCCUGGGAUAAUACUGACGCUCAGACACGAAAGCGUGGGGAGCAAACA